AUGAGGAAACACCGGUCAUGCGUGCUGCCAGCAGCGUCCGUGAUGAUGGAACAAAUGAUCCACCCUCAUCCUUGGGCCUCAGCCUCACCUUAUCUCCUGGCAGGACUGUUUUCUAGAGCACAGGCAGAACCAGCCUUUGACUUCUUGAGGCUUUGCAAACACCCACUAGAUGAGCUCUGCCAUGGCAGCUGGUCCAAGGGUAACACAGUGGGCAGCUGGACGGGGCUACAAGGGAGUUGUGGAUUGGACGAAUAUCUCAAUUUCUUGGCAGAUGACAGACUGUUUGUCAUCCACGCCACAAUCAAGAACUGACCUUCAGCAGCAUAACUACUAUUAUCCGGUCGUUUUUCUCCUCUCUCCUCCCUUCAUCCAUACAUUUCUAUUGCCUCUCUUACCAUUUUAUCUUUCUAAUUGUACCUCCUUUUACUUCUCCUUCACAGUUUUUCUGUCCGGCCUUUGUCAUUGAUCACUGAUGCGACUGGCUGCCUCCAUGCUCAGUAAUGACCUGCACUGGUAACCAGCAGGCUGCUCCUUUUGGCCCCCUCGUAGAUUGAACUGUCAGAUGGCAGCGAUUAAUGGCUGGUCAGAGACACGGACUCACACCUGCAAUAUCCAACAGUGCGCUGUCCAUCCCAUCCCAGUAUUUGCACACGUUGACAGAUGUCUCUACACUUGGGAAUGCUAAUUAAGGGUUUCUUGUAAUGAUAAGACAGUUCUAUUCUAUACAGAACAAUGCAGAAGAACAGGAAUAUACUGUAACUCAGUCCUUAAUGAAUGUGAACUUUUACUAAAAUAGAAAACAUAUCCAUUCACAUUCUGCAACUAUGUCAACAGAAAAUAUUUAAAAUGUUUUAUCAGGUUGCCUUCUCUACUUUUUACAUCUGGAAUGAUUCAUUUAGUGUGCUGUUCACAGCUGAGCCACUAUACUCAAAAGAAUCACAAUAAAUGUCUGAGAUAUAAUUAAGUGAGUGGAGUGUUUGGUCUGGUUUGUCUGCUGAGAUGUGUGCAGUUGGUCCAUGUGGCCAUCCCAUGUUGUGCUUGGCUGGUAGUUUGCUAACUGUCAACGCAGUAUCUCCUAACACUGAUGAGCAGAAAUUUUCCAAACGAUUCCCAAAGCUUUCAUUCCUUUGUUUUAAUGCUCAUCCAAAAGAAACGGCCAAGAAAACUGUGGUUUCUCCCCUGCUUAGCAUUCCUGAAAAGAUAAAGAGCACAGAGGGCCAAAUUUCCAGUGAGUUCUUGAGGUACAACUAACCUUUUUAGUAGCUGCUUUUAGUUCCAAAAACAUCAAAUUGCUGUAUUUGACCAACAGCUGCAUCAGGAACCAACUAUUUCAUUAGAGGAAAUCUUUGGAUUGGGACCAAAAGGAUAUACAGUACAACUUCCCUAGUUUU
RNAcentral lists this long non-coding RNA (1391 nucleotides) under Nothobranchius furzeri (turquoise killifish). Its description in RNAcentral is "lncRNA (ENSNFUG00015012608.1)". The record is from RNAcentral. Lineage: Eukaryota; Metazoa; Chordata; Actinopteri; Cyprinodontiformes; Nothobranchiidae.